Molecule: long non-coding RNA, 2677 nt
Organism: Ictalurus furcatus (blue catfish)
Lineage: Eukaryota; Metazoa; Chordata; Actinopteri; Siluriformes; Ictaluridae
Exons: 3
Source: RefSeq, a predicted model, not a curated record
CUAGCUCCAAAAGUAUUGGAACACUGUCUAGCACCACCCAGAAUACCCUGGCAACCACCUAGCAACACCCUAGCAACCACCCAUAACACCCUAGCAACCGCCUAGCAACACCCUAGCAACACCCUAGCAACCGCCUAACAACACCCUAGCAGACUUAGUUUCUCAAGUCAACAUCAAAGUUUGUCGUGACUAAAUUUACCUAUCUAGUUAUAUAUUCUCAAAAACUAAAAUAUUCAUACAAGAACCCAAGGAAUAACAACUUUGCAAAAUGAAAGAAAAUGAAUACUUUUACUUUAUUCCUUCUUGUUUUAUUAAUCUUGCAAUAUUAAUUUAUUGCUUCUCAUUUUAUCUGCAAAAAUAUUUGUAAAUUGGGUAAGAGAAACAGCACUUAAUAUCUCACAUCUCAAUGCGUGUUUUUAAACCACAGUAAGGAUGUGAGUACAUAUAUACUGGCAACGACUUUGGCAUGGGAAACAAUCGGUUUUAUAUUCCAAAUAUUUGUUAGUCGACCACUGCAUACAUCCCAUUUUCACCUGGUAUUAAUAUGUGCAUUUUUGUGAUUAGCAAAGUACAGUUGUAAACAGGAUCCAAAACCUUUUGGGGCAGAUCACUGAAACCACAUACAGAGGUAGUCAAAAACUCAUGUGCCCACAUCACAUUUCAAGUGGAAGCGAUAUCUGCCCUGAAUGCCUCCUUAAUGGUAUGGAAGGCUGCCCAUUCGCCUGUCAAUGAUCCACUGCACUGAAGCUACAUCCAAUUGCAUGUCUGCAUUUGUUGGAGUUUGUUGGGCACUAAUCCGUGAGAUGCUAACAAAGCAAGAAAUGAUUCUUGACCAGCAACAGUCCAUUCUGCGCAUCCUCACUGCGAAGCAACUCCAGGACACCAAUUCUGAAGUUGAAGAUGGACUUUUGCCAAUGAAAGACCCACAGGGCCUCCAGCGACUGGAGCAGAAAUUCCAAGAAAGUGAUUUCAAGGAAAAAUUGAUUAAUCACCUAGGCCUGGUUGGAGGGUGUGACAUGAAGGACACUGUGUGGAGAACAAUGAGGCGGACACUUUCUAAUGAACUUGCAAGAAACAUCAAUUGGAAAGGAAUAAAUUGGAAUAUAUUCUUGGCACCCCUGCAAUUUAGGGAUGUUGCAAUCGGUAAGUUGUGAUGUCGAAAGUAUCGGUACCAAGUUGAUACUAAAAUUUUUAAAAUGUUACGAUACCAGUUUUUUUUUCAGUACCGGUAGUACCAAGUACCAACUAUUCGGUACCUGUGCACUUUUUGAGGCACAGCAUUCAAAGGCAUAUGUGUGUGCACUCUCUGUGAACAUUGCUCUGUGUGUGAAUAUCGCUCACGACAAUGCGGCUGUGUGUGACUGCAUGUGUGCGGUUAAAUGCAUCAUUUGAAAAUGCUUGUCUUGGCGAGAUGUACGUUAUCCCACUUAUGACAUGGUUAGUUACAACAUAAAUAAGAAGAUUACUUUUUUAGAGUAACUUACCCCACCCUGGCAGUAAUAUGGAACUCUCUAAUGUGGGCUAAGAAACUGGGAACUACUUCAGCCAUGCAAUUAUUGAAAAAUAAUCAACUCCUUAAAACAGUGUUACUCAAUCCUGCUCAUGUAGCACCUGCAACAAAAUGGGCAAUGUUGAGCGCACUCCGGGAACAGGAUAAGGAAAUAUUUUAAUCAAGAAUCAGAGUAAGACUAAUUCAUGUAUGCUUAAGGCUUAUACUUUUGCAUCGGACUACAACGUAGCCUACUCGGCUGUCUGCAAUUACAGUUCUGUGUUGGUGUCUGCGUAGCUGCUAGGUGGCAGUGUUGACUACACAGGAACAAAGCACAGCAGAAGAUGUUUUAACUUCUGUACAUGGAGAGGUGGUCCGUAGACUGCUGCUUUUUUCUAAAUGGAGUUAAUAAACAAUUAUUGGAAUUUCUGUUAAAUAUAUUUGCCACGUUAUGUCAGACAUUCUUGUUAUAUGAAUAAAUAAAUGUAUUAUGAACAUUUUUGAAUCGCCAGAUUCAUUUAUAUUUUGAGCUCUGUUCAACCCGUCUGUGUGUAAUAAGCUUCCGCGCUUUUAUUAGAAGCUACAGGCAAUCUGCUUUAUUACAUUUAUUCUCAAUGAAUAUGAAAUUACUGCAGACAUAUUUAUCAUCCUGGGGAGGGUCUCUGGUUGCACAAAGGACCAAUCACAACUGUUGUCCGCAUACACACGACGCGUUGUUACAGUUAUGGAGAGGUGCACAUCAGGCAACGCCGUAGGCUACGCAAAGGUCCGACGUAGAAGUAUAAAUAGCAUUUAGCGUGUCUCAAUUCGCAGAAGUUGUCAACUGUUUUGCCUCUGAGGCGCAAUAAACAGUAGCUUGCCCUUGAUAUACAUUGAUAUAAGUUCUGCUCAUUUACAUUACAUUCUAACUGAUAAUCUGUGGUACAUGUUAAAUUCCCAUUUUUGUUUUGUUCAUUUAUGUCGUUGUCUAUGCGUUGUUAAGUUAAUGUUUAAUGUAAUUCUUGAAAUUUGAUGGGCUUUGAAAUAUUUUUUGUACAGUUUUAUUAUUUUAUGAGUUGAACUUAAAAAUAAAUAUUCAAUAUUCAUUUAAACUGCUUUAUUGUCAUUUUAUUUGAAUAUGGCCAUUUUGAUGAAUUAAUUAAUUAUGAAAACAUUCAUGUGGAAAAUUAAUCAUGUCUGGGCCAAAUC